GCGGUUCUGUGGCUGUCAGAACCACCGCUGAGGCUCCUGUUCUUUGGUUCAGACGGUAUUCUUUAGUUAUAGAUUAAGUUAUCAGAGCCACAUGUUGCGCGUGAGGGUUGUCCUUGCUGCUGCGAGAGUGAACAAAGCUGUGAUGUAAGCUGCCGGUAAAUUCGGGUCGAUUGAGAGUUCCGGUGACGCGUUUGAGUUAUGGAUUUGCAUUUUGAGGUAGGGGUGCUUUCCAAAAGCUAUAGUUUAUUAUUGGAAUUAUUACAUAUGGGUACUGAUGUGAGGAUGUGUAUUUGGUGAAUGUAUUAGUCCUAUGUAUUGUUUAGUUGUUUUGUAUGAUUAUGGGUGUUUGUUUGACUGGACUGUUGUGUGGUUUUGUGAAACGAAAUGCUUUCGAAGUUGAUUCUUUUAAA
Molecule: non-coding RNA, 410 nt
Organism: Arachis ipaensis
Lineage: Eukaryota; Viridiplantae; Streptophyta; Magnoliopsida; Fabales; Fabaceae
Source: RefSeq, a predicted model, not a curated record